UAACACGGGGGGAGCAAACGUUGUUCGGAAUUACUGGGCGUAAAGGGCGCGUAGGCGGCCCAGCAAGUGGUGUGUGAAAUGCCCUGGCUCAACCAGGGAACUGCGCAUCAAACUGCUGGGCUUGAGGGCAGUAGAGGAAGCUGGAAUUCCUGGUGUAGCGGUGAAAUGCGUAGAUAUCAGGAGGAACACCGUUGGCGAAGGCGAGCUUCUGGGCUGUUCCUGGCGCUGAGGCGCGAAAGCUGGGGGAGCAAACAGGAUUAGAUACCCUGGUAGUCCCAGCUGUAAACGGUGAACACUAGGUGUGGGGGGUGUCGACCCUUUCCGUGCCGUAGCUAACGCAUUAAGUGUUCCGCCUGGGGAGUACGGUCGCAAGGCUG
This 377-nucleotide ribosomal RNA is filed under the name uncultured bacterium. RNAcentral describes it as "bacterial SSU rRNA". It matches the Rfam family "Bacterial small subunit ribosomal RNA", at positions 521 to 896 of the family's 1533-position model. The record is from RNAcentral.